GACAGAGGGUGCAAACGUUGUUCGGAAUUACUGGGCGUAAAGCGCGUGUAGGCGGCCUUGCAGGUCAAAUGUGAAAUCCCUCGGCUCAACCAAGGAAGUGCAUUCGAAACCGCAAGGCUGGAGUCCCGGAGAGGAAGGUGGAAUUCUCGGUGUAGAGGUGAAAUUCGUAGAUAUCGAGAGGAACACCGGCGGCGAAAGCGGCCUUCUGGACGAGGACUGACGCUGAGACGCGAAAGCGUGGGGAGCAAACAGG
Molecule: ribosomal RNA, 253 nt
Filed under: uncultured bacterium
Lineage: Bacteria
Description: partial 16S ribosomal RNA
Rfam family: Bacterial small subunit ribosomal RNA
Source: RNAcentral